CCCCAGGAGCCGGCCGGCUCUGCUCCCACCGCCGCGGGCGCACAAAGUGGGAAGGGCGGACGCGCCGGAGGGGCGCCGGGCGCUGGCGGCUCGGGGAGGCAGCCCCGUGCAGCGCAGCCCUGGAGGGAGCGGGGUUCGGCUGGGCAGCAAGGGCGACGCGCUCCUUUCACAGCUAAACGAAAAUGACCAGCCUUAGCAGUCCACGUAAAACCACCCAAAAUAAUAGCGUUCCUCCUAGGAGUAGGAGGAAGGGAAUUGUUUCCUGCCAGCGGCAGCCGAGCUGCGUUCACGCGCUGAUCGGAGAAUGAGUGACAGUCCCAGCCUCAGCACACUCGCAACUCGGAGAUCCUUGCGCUGGCCCGGAGAGACAUACAACACCCUUCAGCAGAUCCCCUGGGAAGGAGGUGGGAAGAGACUUAAGUUAGAAGAAAACUCCGAUGUUUGGAAGAGAUUUCCAGAAAUAACCCGAAGAAAAUGUUUUCCUGUUUAUAAAUUCUGAAAUCUGUGGUCUCUUUAUUAAAAUAGCCAGGCUUUUAUAUAGGUAUUAUGAUAUAGAAGCGUCAUUAAAUAAUAUUUUCUUACAUGGGGACGUGACCUUAAUUCUUAAAGAUAUUAAUGUAUAAUAUUACUGAGGUACCAACACAAUAGGCUUUAAUUAAAAUUCCACCCGUGUUUUCAAAAGUAGGGGGUGGAGAAAGCGGGGUGAAAAGAAUCAUGUCUCAGCACCUGAAGGCUUGGGUAUGUAAGGAACUAAUGUGAGAAAGGUGUUCUAGAUGUCAGGUUAACCCAUUAGCCUAGAACACUGAAACCCUCUAACAGAGGAAGUCUGCAUAAGUUCAAAGGCAUUAAAGCACUAAUGUUACCGGGUACUCCGUUUUUCUUCAAAGGUCGGCCUCCCCACUCCUGUAGCAGGUUUUUUGUUUUGUUUUGUUUUGUUUUGUUUCUGUUUUGUUUUUUUGAGAUGGAGCCUCGCUCUGUCGCCCAGGCUGCAGUGCAGUGGCGCCAUCUCUGCUCACUGCAACCUCUGCUCCCGGUUCAAGCGAUUCUGCUGCCUCAGCCUCCUGAGUAGCUGGGAUUACAGGCGCGCGCCACCACGCCCAGCUAAUUUUUGUAUUUUUAGUAGAGACGGUGUUUCACCAUGUUGGUCAGGCCGGUCUCGAACUCCUGACCUCGUGAUCUGCCCACCUCAGCCUCCCAAAGUGCUAGGAUUACAGCCGUGAGCUACCGCACCCAGCCGCUGUAGCAGUUUUUAAAAGUCCAUCCUCUACUGUCAGGACAUCCAUCCUUAUUGGACAGGCCCCAUCUCUUCCCCACUUUCCUCCUCUAUAAUAGACCAAGUGGGCCACACCAGUACAGUGUAAUUAGCUUGGACCCCUGAAAAGUAUUUCUUCCCCCAAGUAAAUCUUCCACAACGUUUACUUUGGGCUAUUUCUCUCAUUCCAAGUAUAAACAAUUCAAAAGUACAGAAAAGUAGAAAGAACUAAAAAUAACCCCAAAUCCCACAGAUUCCAGAGAUACUCAUAGAUUUUGUCUUCUGUAUGUGCAUAUGAUUUUUAUAAUUGACAUAUUAUAGUAGCAAUUUGAAUCCUGCUGAUUUUGCCUAACAUCAGUAUAAGCAUUUAUUCCUCUGGAUCAUUAAAAAGCUUUUCUAGAUAUUUUUAUAGCUAUGUAAUAUUUCUU
This is a long non-coding RNA of Homo sapiens (human), 1680 nucleotides long. NCBI's taxonomy places the organism in Eukaryota, Metazoa, Chordata, Mammalia, Primates, Hominidae. The record is from Ensembl.